UACGUAGGUGGCAAGCGUUAUCCGGAUUUACUGGGUGUAAGGGGCGUGUAGGCGGGGACGCAAGUCAGAUGUGAAAACCACGGGCUCAACCUGUGGCCUGCAUUUGAAACUGUGUUUCUUGAGUACUGGAGAGGCAGACGGAAUUCCUAGUGUAGCGGUGAAAUGCGUAGAUAUUAGGAGGAACACCAGUGGCGAAGGCGGUCUGCUGGACAGCAACUGACGCUGAGGCGCGAAAGCGUGGGGAGCAAACAGG
This 253-nucleotide ribosomal RNA is filed under the name uncultured bacterium. RNAcentral's name for it is "partial 16S ribosomal RNA". It matches the Rfam family "Bacterial small subunit ribosomal RNA", at positions 524 to 776 of the family's 1533-position model. The record is from RNAcentral.